Miniopterus natalensis is the source of this 1175-nucleotide non-coding RNA. The record is from RefSeq and is a predicted model, not a curated record. NCBI's taxonomy places the organism in Eukaryota, Metazoa, Chordata, Mammalia, Chiroptera, Miniopteridae.
ACCCGUCGCCCUUGAGCUCCUGUCCUGUCCCCUCUUGCUGACUGCGUGAUCUCUCUGCCCUGCAAAUUCGUUCAUUCUACAGUUGACUUCAAAGCCUCCCCCCCCAGGUGCUCAAAUGACACUGGUGAAAUUAAGUUGACCGGUGAGGACACUGGAGCUCAGAAAGGUCAAGAAGAUGGAUUGAGUACCAUUUACCUGGAAGGCUGCCUUUGAUGAGCCGCUCAGAAGUGUCCAUUGGUCUGGCAGCAGCUUUAAUGAGGUAUACUUUCUAUACAUGAAUGGCACACAUUUAAAGUGGAUGCUUUGAGGAAUAUGCAGUAAGCCUGGGAAGCUCAGUGACUGCCGCUCUGCAGCCCAAGGUGAAGGGCCAAGUCCCCAGCAGAGAGCAUGGGAGUGAAUGGGCCAAGGUUGAAGAUGAGAGCCCGAAAAUGAGAGCUCAGGGCACUUAUGGACCAAGGUAUCAGCCCAAUGGCUCUAAUUGGCAGAGAACGCCCUUCAGAUGGAGCAUCCACCAGUUCAGUAGCCAAAUCUGGAAUUUUUCCACAGAUAAACAGGAUGCAGCAGGCCCUAAUUCUCAGAUAUCAUCCAUUUACUCAACAAUCAAGUGCCUUCCAAGUACCCAGUUCUGUACCCAGUUCUGUGACCAGCAUAAGUCUUUGACUGGCUUUGGUUGGUUCUCAGGUUGUCAGCAACUUUCAGAACGAAGUCAAAACUUCUAAGACUUAUGUUCAAGGCCUUUCUUGAUUAAGUUCCUAAAUUAAGGUUUUCCACCACAUCUUCUACACAGCCUGUGCUCCAGAGCUAACCAAUGUCCCAGUGUCCCAGACUCACCAACUCCUUUCUGCCCCUCUCCCUUAAUGUUCUCUCACACUUCACUCUCUUGGCCAGUGGAGACCUUCGCAGCCAGCCUAGGCAUCAAGCCUGCCAGGUAGCCUUCUUCGUCACUGCAGGAAGAAUUAAUUGGGGCCGGCACUGUCUGAACUCGUAUCCCACAUGCUACCUAUGAGGGCUGUGGUGGGCUGUGAACUCCUGAAGGGCAGGGCGCUAUUGCACAUACCUGGCUUAGCACAUGGAAGGUCGUAGUCGCUUAGUCACCGUCAGCUGAAUUGAGCUGAUUUCUGCACUGCACCCUCUCUUUCUGCAUUUGGGGACUGGGAAGACUCACCCCCACUGCC